RNAcentral lists this ribosomal RNA (497 nucleotides) under uncultured bacterium. RNAcentral describes it as "partial 16S ribosomal RNA". It matches the Rfam family "Bacterial small subunit ribosomal RNA", at positions 28 to 507 of the family's 1533-position model. The record is from RNAcentral.
GAUGAACGCUGGCGGCGUGCCUAAUACAUGCAAGUCGAGCGAACGGACGAGACUCUUGCUUCUCUGAUGUUAGCGGCGCACGGGUGAGCAACACGUGUAUAACCUACCUAUAAGACUGGGAUAACUUCGGGAAACCGGAGCUAAUACCGGAUAAUAUUUUGAUCCGCAUGGUUCAAUAGUGAAAGACGGUCUUUCUGUCACUUAUCGAUGGUUCCGCGCUGCAUUAUCUAGUUGUUAAGGUCACGGCUUACCAAGGCAACGAUGCGUAGCCGACCUGAGAGGGUGAUAGGCCACACGGGAGGGGAGACGGGGACAAGGCGCCUAAGAGAGGCAGCAGUAGGGAAUGUUCCGCAGUGGGCGAGAGCCUGACGGAGCGACGCCGCGUGAGUGAUGAAAGUGUUCGGAUCGUAAAGAUCUGUUAUUAGGGAAGAACAGAUGUGUAAGGAACUGUGCACAGAUUGACGGUACCUAAUCAGAAAGCCACGGCUAACUACGUG